UUACGGCCAUACCACGUUGAAAGACCGGUUGCCGUACGACUACCGAAGUUAAGCAACGUCAUGCCUGGUCAGUACCGACAAGGGUGACCGCUUUGAAAUACCAAAUGCUGUAA
This is a non-coding RNA of Acanthosepion pharaonis, 113 nucleotides long. NCBI's taxonomy places the organism in Eukaryota, Metazoa, Mollusca, Cephalopoda, Sepiida, Sepiidae. The record is from the annotation of a GenBank genome assembly.